CCACGGGAGUCAGCAGUGGGGAAUAUUGCGCAAUGGGCGAAAGCCUGACGCAGCGACGCCGCGUGAGGGAUGAAGGUCUUCGGAUCGUAAACCUCUGUCAGCAGGGAGGAACGGUCACUGUGCUAAUCAGCAGUGAAUUGACGGUACCUGCAAAGGACGCACCGGCAAACUACGUGCCAGCAGCCGCGGUAAUACGGAGGGUGCGAGCGUUAAUCGGAAAUACUGGGGGUAAAGUGAGCGUAGGCGGUAUGUAACGGUAAGGGUGAAAUCCCCGCGCUCAAAGUGGGAAAUGCCUUUUAAAGUGGCAAACGGGAGGGUGUGAGAGGAUAGUGGAAUUCCAGGUGUAGGAGUGAAA
Molecule: ribosomal RNA, 355 nt
Filed under: uncultured bacterium
Lineage: Bacteria
Description: partial 16S ribosomal RNA
Rfam family: Bacterial small subunit ribosomal RNA
Source: RNAcentral